This 347-nucleotide ribosomal RNA is filed under the name uncultured eukaryote. RNAcentral's name for it is "SSU rRNA". It matches the Rfam family "Eukaryotic small subunit ribosomal RNA", at positions 594 to 945 of the family's 1831-position model. The record is from RNAcentral.
AUAGCGUAUAUUAAAGUUGUUGCGGUUAAAAAGCUCGUAGUUGGAUCUGCGGCCUCGGAGGCUGGUCCCCCACUGGGUGUGACUAGUUUUCCAGGCCUACCUCGUUGGUUUUCCCUUGGUCCUCUUCACUGAGUGCCUUGGGUGACCAGCAAGUUUACUUUGAAAAAAUUAGAGUGCUCAAAGCAGGCGCGUAGCCUGAAUAGUGGUGCAUGGAAUAAUAGAAUAGGACCUCGGUUCUAUUUUGUUGGUUUUCGGAGCUCGAGGUAAUGAUUAAGAGGGACAGACGGGGGCAUUCGUAUUGCUGCGUUAGAGGUGAAAUUCUUGGAUCGCAGCAAGACGGACAACUG